ACCAAUUGUUGUGGAAUUUCUUGAUUUAAUUGAUGAAGUAUUUCUAGAAAAUGAAGAAAGAAACGUUGCCAGGGACCCACGUCGGUAUUUGAGGGAUUUUAAAAAUCCACUGGAGUGGUUUAGUGACGUGCUGUUCAGACGACGAUAUCGUUUUACCAAGGAUCUUGUUCGGCAUCACAUUCUGCCUUUGCUAGUGUUUGAAGAACCACGGAGUCGUCGAGGAUUACCGCUACCGCCUGUCCUGCAGCUGCUAAUUGCCUUGCGAUUUUACGCAACAGGCACUUUCCAGAUGGUGGCAGGCGAGUUAACAGGCGUUAGCGAGUCCACAGUUUCCCGAAUUAUCAGACGUAUCUCUGUCGGUUUAGCGCAACAUACUCUACAUCUGAUACGGUUUCCCACUGGCGAUGAAUUUCGAUUGAACAAGCUACGAUUUUAACACUUUCCCGGUGUUACAGGAGUGACUGCACCCACAUAAAAAUCAAAAGCCCCGGUGGUGCUCGGGGGGAAGUAUACAGCUUAUUCGAAGAUGGGCGUGUGCAGGGACUGCUGCUGGGAGACAGUGGUUACCCACAGUUGCCAUACCUGUUCACGUACAGAUGCAGAGCAGAGGCCAACAAUGAUGUGCCAAUCCCACCAGUUCCUCUUCGACCUGGGCGCGCCAUGGCCAUCAGGAACGAGUUCAUCAUCCGGCAUUUCAAUUAGCUGUAUUGAAAUGAUUUUUACACACAUUGUUUUACGUGGGUUUUUUAAUUCAGUGACCAUGAUCGUACCGUUUAAUAUUAGGUUUGUUUGGCUGGAAUGAAUAUUUUAUGAUUUUUGCACUCAUUGUUAUGGCUACUUAUGAAUAAUUCAAUGAUAUAUCUUCAUUUGUUGCUAAGCCAUUCCAUUGCAUUUCCUUUAAUCCUUCACAUACCUACAGGCCCUGGCAUUUUGUUUCCAACUUGUAAACAAAUUUCAAUUAAAUUAAGAAAUUUUACAUGAACUUUCUAAUAAUGCAGCCUUUUACAAAUGUCUGAGUAAAGAAGUACAUUUGUUUAUAUUUUUGCUUUUUGAUUCUUUUGUAUUUUAACUUGAUGAAAUAGGUAAUGUUUUGUUAAAAGUAUUAUUGUGCAAACAUAUUUAUGUUGUCUCAAGUUUCAUUUUGUUCACUUACCUAUGAUAUAGGAUUGUA
This is a long non-coding RNA of Bacillus rossius redtenbacheri, 1171 nucleotides long. RefSeq lists it as uncharacterized. NCBI's taxonomy places the organism in Eukaryota, Metazoa, Arthropoda, Insecta, Phasmatodea, Bacillidae. The record is from RefSeq and is a predicted model, not a curated record. The transcript has 4 exons.